This is a long non-coding RNA of Oreochromis aureus, 1104 nucleotides long. RefSeq lists it as uncharacterized. The transcript has 2 exons. NCBI's taxonomy places the organism in Eukaryota, Metazoa, Chordata, Actinopteri, Cichliformes, Cichlidae. The record is from RefSeq and is a predicted model, not a curated record.
UGAUCUCAGUCCUGAUUAAAGUCACACACACCUCCAAACCGGCACGACCAACCACAGAAAGCUCAUGAGUCAGGAACUCUUUCAGCUCAGCCCUUUUGAUACCGUCUGCGACGAACUGUGGAGAGAGAACAGGUCUUCUCGACCUCAGCAAUCACCUGUCUGAUCCGACGACCCUUCUCUCCAAGCGUCGGUCAGGUUUACCUUAGCCGGCAUCCCUGACCCCAGCUGACAAUGGAGGAUUUUGGGUUGGGCUCUGAGUCCCCAACUGACAAGGAAGGAGGCUGGGACGACUUUCCUGAGCCCCUAGCUGACACAGGAGGUGAUAUGUCGGGCUCGCAUGAGCCCCCAGCUGUUGGGGAAUAUGUGAAGUGGAGGAUAUUUUUUUUUCCGUUGGCCAAAGCAAUCCAGGCAGGUGGCGCAAACAGACUCCCUCUCCUGCUUUCUUCCCAAGGAGUUAAUCCUGUGUCUGUGGAGGUGGAUGACACGAAUGCUAAAUUUUAAAAAAUUGUCAAAGGAAAUGCUGUUGGGUCCAUCAUGGUCAGGUGGUUCUGUCACAGCUGGGAAAUAGAAGACCUGCUCCCAAAGACUGUGGUAAAUUAUUUUAUUUAUGUUUAGAGAUUUCUGACCUUGUUUUAUAUAUUAUGCCGUUUUUAUGUGAGAAAUGAGUAAUGAAAAAUGACUUAAGUGCUUUUAUUCGACGGUUUCCCCAAAGAAUUUACAUUAGCUGUUAAUAUAAAAAUAGGACAAGCACAAUAAGUGAUGCCUGUCAGUUCACAUCAAGAAUGGUUAACUUAUUAACUUAGAAACUUUGUUUUUAAGAAGGAAACCAGAGCAGAGAGCCAGAUGAUAGCAGCUUGGGUUACCACAAAAGACAUGACAAAAAUGCUAUAAUUAUAUAAUUUAAAUAAUGUAUAUUAAAAGAUGCAUUCUUGGAUAAUAUUUGUGAAUAAAUCUGCUGAGAUCUAUGCAUGUGGGGAAACUGAUUGUCAUUGCAAGUAUAGUAAGUGGUUUAGAUUCACAACCAUUUUAAAUUGCUUAUCAAAAGUGAUGCUUCUUUUUGGAGAGAUAAUUAAAAAUUGUCAGUGUUCUGACAGUCUCCUACUA